This 255-nucleotide ribosomal RNA is filed under the name uncultured bacterium. RNAcentral describes it as "partial 16S ribosomal RNA". It matches the Rfam family "Bacterial small subunit ribosomal RNA", at positions 524 to 778 of the family's 1533-position model. The record is from RNAcentral.
UACAGAGGGGGCGAGCGUUGUUCGGAAUUACUGGGCGUAAAGGGCGCGUAGGCGGCCUGCUAAGUCGGACGUGAAAUCCCUCGGCUCAACCGGGGAACUGCGUCCGAUACUGGCGGGCUUGAAUCCGGGAGAGGAAUGGGGAAUUCCAGGUGUAGCGGUGAAAUGCGUAGAUAUCUGGAGGAACACCGGUGGCGAAGGCGGCAUUCUGGACCGGCAUUGACGCUGAUGCGCGAAAGCCAGGGGAGCAAAACGGGG